RNAcentral lists this ribosomal RNA (505 nucleotides) under uncultured bacterium. RNAcentral describes it as "partial 16S ribosomal RNA". It matches the Rfam family "Bacterial small subunit ribosomal RNA", at positions 29 to 523 of the family's 1533-position model. The record is from RNAcentral.
AGUGAACGCUGGCGGUAGGCCUAACACAUGCAAGUCGAACGGCAGCACAGAGGAGCUUGCUCCUUGGGUGGCGAGUGGCGGACGGGUGAGGAAUACAUCGGAAUCUACUCUGUCGUGGGGGAUAACGUAGGGAAACUUACGCUAAUACCGCAUACGACCUACGGGUGAAAGCAGGGGAUCUUCGGACCGGCCCGAUUGACUGAGCCGAUGUCGGAUUAGCUAGUUGGCGGGGUAAAGGCCCACCAAGGCGACGAUCCGUAGCUGGUCUGAGAGGAUGAUCAGCCACACUGGAACUGAGACACGGUCCAGACUCCUACGGGAGGCAGCAGUGGGGAAUAUUGGACAAUGGGCGCAAGCCUGAUCCAGCCAUACCGCGUGGGUGAAGAGGGCCUUCGGGUUGUAAAGCCCUUUUGUUGGGAAAGAAAUCCAUCUGGUUAAUACCCGGGUGGGAUGACGGUACCCAAAGAAUAAGCACCGGCUAACUUCGUGCCAGCAGCCGCCGUAA